Molecule: ribosomal RNA, 253 nt
Filed under: uncultured bacterium
Lineage: Bacteria
Description: partial 16S ribosomal RNA
Rfam family: Bacterial small subunit ribosomal RNA
Source: RNAcentral
UACGGAGGGUGCAAGCGUUAUCCGGAUUCACUGGGUUUAAAGGGUGCGUAGGUGGGCUGGUAAGUCAGUGGUGAAAUCUCCAGGCUUAACUUGGAAACUGCCAUUGAUACUAUCAGUCUUGAAUACCGUGGAGGUCAGCGGAAUAUGUCAUGUAGCGGUGAAAUGCUUAGAUAUGACAUAGAACACCAAUUGCGAAGGCAGCUGGCUACACGAAUAUUGACACUGAGGCACGAAAGCGUGGGGAUCAAACAGG